GGGUGGGUGAACUGUUGAGCACACAGCUGCUAGUGACCACACAAAUCUGCCAUGUGCUAAAACACACAGUACUGUGUGCCAACUACAUGCUUGUAGUCCCAGCUGCGUUCCGGAGGCAGAAGCAGGAGAUAAAGAGUUGGAGGUCAUUUUGAGGUGCUGCUCUGGAUAGUGCUGGAAGCCUCAGGAGGUAUCGGCCAUCAGGGGUGCCCAAUGGAAGGCACACUGCCACAAGACUGAGGUGGGAGAGAAGAGGACAUGGAGAAAGAAGGGAGUUUCACCUGAGAUCUGGUUUCUCUAUGUCUGAUGGAGUCAAGAACUUAAGCACAGAUGACAAAAUGCAGGCAGCUGUGAAGAUCGCCUGGAUCAUAAG
Mastomys coucha (southern multimammate mouse) is the source of this 370-nucleotide long non-coding RNA. RefSeq lists it as uncharacterized. The record is from RefSeq and is a predicted model, not a curated record. The transcript is spliced from 4 exons. NCBI's taxonomy places the organism in Eukaryota, Metazoa, Chordata, Mammalia, Rodentia, Muridae.